Molecule: ribosomal RNA, 965 nt
Filed under: uncultured bacterium
Lineage: Bacteria
Description: bacterial SSU rRNA
Rfam family: Bacterial small subunit ribosomal RNA
Source: RNAcentral
AUACAUAGGGUGCAAGCGUUAUCCGGAAUUAUUGGGCGUAAAGGGCUCGUAGGCGGUUCGUCGCGUCCGGUGUGAAAGUCCAUCGCUUAACGGUGGAUCCGCGCCGGGUACGGGCGGGCUUGAGUGCGGUAGGGGAGACUGGAAUUCCCGGUGUAACGGUGGAAUGUGUAGAUAUCGGGAAGAACACCAAUGGCGAAGGCAGGUCUCUGGGCCGUUACUGACGCUGAGGAGCGAAAGCGUGGGGAGCGAACAGGAUUAGAUACCCUGGUAGUCCACGCCGUAAACGGUGGAUGCUGGAUGUGGGGCCCGUUCCACGGGUUCCGUGUCGGAGCUAACGCGUUAAGCAUCCCGCCUGGGGAGUACGGCCGCAAGGCUAAAACUCAAAGAAAUUGACGGGGGCCCGCACAAGCGGCGGAGCAUGCGGAUUAAUUCGAUGCAACGCGAAGAACCUUACCUGGGCUUGACAUGUUCCCGACGGUCGUAGAGAUGCGGCUUCCCUUCGGGGCGGGUUCACAGGUGGUGCAUGGUCGUCGUCAGCUCGUGUCGUGAGAUGUUGGGUUAAGUCCCGCAACGAGCGCAACCCUCGCCCCGUGUUGCCAGCGGAUUAUGCCGGGAACUCACGGGGGACCGCCGGGGUUAACUCGGAGGAAGGUGGGGAUGACGUCAGAUCAUCAUGCCCCUUACGUCCAGGGCUUCACGCAUGCUACAAUGGCCGGUACAACGGGAUGCGACGCGGCGACGCGGAGCGGAUCCCUGAAAACCGGUCUCAGUUCGGAUCGCAGUCUGCAACUCGACUGCGUGAAGGCGGAGUCGCUAGUAAUCGCGAAUCAGCAACGUCGCGGUGAAUGCGUUCCCGGGCCUUGUACACACCGCCCGUCAAGUCAUGAAAGUGGGCAGCACCCGAAGCCGGUGGCCUAACCCCUUGUGGGAUGGAGCCGUCUAAGGUGAGGCUCGUGAUUGGGACU